Helianthus annuus (common sunflower) is the source of this 411-nucleotide long non-coding RNA. RefSeq lists it as uncharacterized. The transcript has 3 exons. The record is from RefSeq and is a predicted model, not a curated record. Lineage: Eukaryota; Viridiplantae; Streptophyta; Magnoliopsida; Asterales; Asteraceae.
UGCAAGCCAAGCUGGAUAAAAGUCUCAAAGAAAAGGAGUUGGUGGAUGAUUUUAAUGAAAGUCUUUUGAGAAACAAGGAGAUAUGACAAAAGAUCAUUGUGAAAACUGAAGACAGGUGUGUUCCGAUUUAAGGUAAACUUGGUUAUCAAGGAGCUCGUUGAGGAAAAGGAUGAAGAAGAAGAAAAGUUGAAUAGAAUUAUUGCGGGGCCGUCGGCUGAAAAAGAAAAAAAGAUAAGGUGGAUAAAGAUACUAUGCUCGAUAGGAUAUCACAAGUUGAAGCUACGUUAACAGCUAUUGUUCUAAGAUAUGUUAUAAACACUUAGUUUUGAAUGUUUCGAUGUUUAUCAUAUUAGGAUAAUUCCAGUUAUUUAACAUUUUAGUUGGUAUUUAUUAUUAAAUUGUUUUAUAUGA